UGGGGAAUUUUGGACAAUGGGGGAAACCCUGAUCCAGCCAUCCCGCGUGUGCGAUGAAGGCCUUCGGGUUGUAAAGCACUUUUGGCAGGAAAGAAACGUCGCGGGUUAAUACCCCGCGAAACUGACGGUACCUGCAGAAUAAGCACCGGCUAACUACGUGCCAGCAGCCGCGGUAAUACGUAGGGUGCAAGCGUUAAUCGGAAUUACUGGGCGUAAAGCGUGCGCAGGCGGUUCGGAAAGAAAGAUGUGAAAUCCCAGAGCUUAACUUUGGAACUGCAUUUUUAACUACCGGGCUAGAGUGUGUCAGAGGGAGGUGGAAUUCCGCGUGUAGCAGUGAAAUGCGUAGAUAUGCGGAGGAACACCGAUGGCGAAGGCAGCCUCCUGGGAUAACACUGACGCUCAUGCACGAAAAGCGUGGGGAGCAAAACAGGAUUAGAUACCCUGGUAGUCCACGCCCUAAAACGAUGUCAACUAGCUGUUGGGGGCCUUCGGGCCUUGGUAGCGCAGCUAACGCGUGAAGUUGACCGCCUGGGGAGUACGGUCGCAAGAUUAAAAACUCAAAAUG
Molecule: ribosomal RNA, 565 nt
Filed under: uncultured bacterium
Lineage: Bacteria
Description: partial 16S ribosomal RNA
Rfam family: Bacterial small subunit ribosomal RNA
Source: RNAcentral